Long non-coding RNA from Paramisgurnus dabryanus, 806 nucleotides. RefSeq lists it as uncharacterized. The record is from RefSeq and is a predicted model, not a curated record. Lineage: Eukaryota; Metazoa; Chordata; Actinopteri; Cypriniformes; Cobitidae.
AAAAGAUUCUGAAAGAAAUAAGAUAAUUUUCAAAGCAUUAACAUGAAUAUGAAAGUCAUUAAUGACCAUCUUUUAUUAUUGUUUAUUUACAGUGUCUUUUAUUCUGCUUACCUGACUCAUGCAGAAUUCUGGCUUGAUGUUUGGUCCACCUGUUAGCUGGCUCUGGUGCUUGGUAGUCUUCUCAAACCUCUGAAUCAAGACCACCAUGAGAGGCCUUCUGAAGACCAUCAUUACGCUGCAGAUCCAGUGGUCUUUACUAUGAGAUAGAACUGAACUGGAGUCUGUGAACUAAUGCUGUGUUCGAGACAACUUGGAUGUUUGAUAUUAUUGACCUCAAACCCAUAAGAAGUCUGGAACAGCAAACAAAGUUGAGUAUCCGACCUCUCAACUUGGGACAGAUCCAUCAACACCGACCUCAACGAGAUGCGUCAUUUGACAUUGCAGACAAGAUCCUUUCUCUUUUUUUAUGCAGCUCUUAAGGAUGAAGCACCCUGAUCUACUAAGAUGCACAGAUUCAACUCUGGCCCAGCAUCAUCCCCACACCUCAUCUGCCAUCAGUUUAAUUUAAUGUCUGUCAAUUGCAAAUGCUAUUUCAGUUAUAUUACAACUUAAUAUUAACUUUAAUUGAGACUAGUAUUGUGUAAAGCUGGGGUUUCCAAACUUUUCAUUUUAAAACCUAUUAGACAAGUAUAAUCUAUUCUAGACCCACUAAAAUAUUUUUAAAUAUACAUUUUUUUAAUGGGGUAAAACACAUUUGUUCUCUUUCAGUGGAGUCAUUUUAUUUUCAUAAUAUUUCAUAAUGUGAA